This 266-nucleotide long non-coding RNA is filed under the name Lathyrus oleraceus (garden pea). RNAcentral's name for it is "Pisum sativum (pea) long non-coding RNA (PSAT_LNC008840)". The record is from RNAcentral. Lineage: Eukaryota; Viridiplantae; Streptophyta; Magnoliopsida; Fabales; Fabaceae.
AAAGGAUUAAAUGAAAAUUCAGAAAAUAAAAAAAAUUAGAAAAAACAAGGGUCAUCAAAUCUCCCUCAUUAAUUGAGGUGGCAGAUCUGAUGGCCACACGCGCGUUAUCCGUGGUGGACAUAAGUCGAAGUGAUGUACGUGCGGUAAUUCAAACCAAAGGCCAAGAUUAGAUCAUUGGACCAGGAUCAGAUGGAUGUGAAGCUGCCAACACACCACCGGAGCUAGGGCUCCGGUCUUCUUCUCCGGUGGACCUCACCGGACUGGUC